RNAcentral lists this ribosomal RNA (414 nucleotides) under uncultured bacterium. RNAcentral's name for it is "bacterial SSU rRNA". It matches the Rfam family "Bacterial small subunit ribosomal RNA", at positions 29 to 428 of the family's 1533-position model. The record is from RNAcentral.
AACGAACGCUGGCGGCGUGCCUAACACAUGCAAGUCGUGCGAGAAAGUUCCUUCGGGAGCGAGUAAAGCGGCGCACGGGUGAGUAACACGUAGGUAACCUGCCCCCCAGUCUGGAACAACUAGAGGAAACUCUAGCUAAUGCCGGAUGAGACCACGAUCCCUUCGGGGUUGCGGCCAAAGAUGGCCUCUACUUGUAAGCUAUCGCUGAGGGAUGGGCCUGCGGGCCAUUAGCUUGUUGGGUGAGGUAACGGCUCACCAAGGCUGUGAUGGCUAGCUGGUCUGAGAGGAUGACCAGCCACACUGGGACUGAGACACGGCCCAGACUCCUACGGGAGGCAGCAGUGGGGAAUAUUGCGCAAUGGGCGAAAGCCUGACGCAGCGACGCCGCGUGGGUGAUGAAGGCCUCGGUCGUAA